UCGCUCAAGCUUCAGCUGCUGACAGGGUCGCAGACACCAGUUGUCGGUCAGCCGAGGAGGAAAGUGGAUGAGUGCCCCAUGUUCUGGAGGCUUCUAGAUUUCUGGCAGCCGGUCGCGUGUGGUACACUGAAAAGAGGGAGAUAUCGCCACGUCUGCAAACAGUGGUGCGUUAGAUGAGGAACAAGAUGCAAGGUCUGCUGCCACAACAAAUCUUUGGGAGAGCUUCUAGAUGUUGUGCAGGCUUCAGGGAGUGUGAAAUGUGCUAUGAGAGCCCCAGGUCACUCAGGAGUUUGUGGAACAAUUUCAGAGGAAUAAGUCCAAGCAGUGGAUUAUCCAACACUUCUUGCCAUAGACCAGGUUGUUCGUUCUGAGUGAGGUUUUGACUACAGUGCAGGUUACUCAGAUAAGGUUAUCAGGAAAGGGACUGGGCUAGACCUGCCAGCAACUCUACUAGGCCCUGGAGUGAGAAGGAACAGACUACUGUGGACAAAUCUCCACCUGGUCUUACAGGCACCUGUGAGGAUGCCAAGCAAGGACCUGGGUUGGGCCUUCAAGACACUGGAGCACACAAUAGGGUCUUCAGGCACCUGUGAGGGAUGCCAAGCAAGGACCUGGGUUGGGCCUUCAAGACACUGGAGCACAAUAGGGUCUUCCUCCAGAAAACUGGACAACUCUGCAGUGGCACCAUACCUGUAUGGCCCCAUCAAAUUGCCAACAAAAGCAAGGACUCCGGCUGUACAGUUAUUUGGAUGUUGUCCUGUCAUUUACUCCCCCACCUUGGCAUUUAUGCUAAAAUAUCUUCACAAAGUUUUGAAAUUACAGUAAUCCAGUAAGAAAAUGGUGUAAUAUAAAAAAUAAUGUAGACUACUAAUCCUUGUACCCUGAGAAGGCAGAGGUAGACUAGAUGAACAGAUAUGAUCAACAUGCAAGUUUAAGAGACUUUGCACAUAGUCCCCCUUUGUGCAGUUAGUUAGCCAUGUGCACAACUUGAUCACAUGCCUCUCUGCAAAGGCUAUCGCUCUUCCCCUUUUCCUAGUUUUCAAACUUUUUUUUCUUCCCCUAGUUUUCAAACCCAUUUUCUCUAAGUUUAAGGAACACUGCACACAUAUAGGCUUUCCCCCCCACCUCAUUCCAUGUAUGUCUAGAAACUGCACAUGGCUAACAAUUACUGCACAUAAAGGUCUCGUAAUACAAAAUGCUCCUUAACUUGGUUCUAAAAAAUUAAACAUAAUCCAGCUCCCUCCCCUUUACUUUAUUUUAUUAAAAAUGCUCUCCCUGCCCCCCUUUAAUUUUCAACAGCUCCAGCCCUGUGGUGACCAUGUUCAUAACCAUCAACCAGCUCCCUCUCCCCCUUAGGGUUCAUGUAUUUUUUAUUAAACAAUGAUUUUCA
Molecule: long non-coding RNA, 1390 nt
Organism: Scylla paramamosain (green mud crab)
Lineage: Eukaryota; Metazoa; Arthropoda; Malacostraca; Decapoda; Portunidae
Exons: 4
Source: RefSeq, a predicted model, not a curated record